RNAcentral lists this ribosomal RNA (253 nucleotides) under uncultured bacterium. RNAcentral describes it as "partial 16S ribosomal RNA". It matches the Rfam family "Bacterial small subunit ribosomal RNA", at positions 524 to 776 of the family's 1533-position model. The record is from RNAcentral.
UACGUAGGGGGCAAGCGUUGUCCGGAAUCAUUGGGCGUAAAGAGCGUGUAGGCGGCCCGGUCAGUCCGCCGUGAAAGUCCAGGGCUCAACCCUGGAAUGCCGGUGGAUACUGCCGGGCUAGAGUCCGGAAGAGGCGAGUGGAAUUCCUGGUGUAGCGGUGAAAUGCGCAGAUAUCAGGAGGAACACCAAUGGCGAAGGCAGCUCGCUGGGACGGUACUGACGCUGAGACGCGAAAGCGUGGGGAGCAAACAGG